This 809-nucleotide long non-coding RNA is filed under the name Brassica napus (rape). RNAcentral describes it as "long non-coding RNA (BNAP_LNC015902)". The record is from RNAcentral. Lineage: Eukaryota; Viridiplantae; Streptophyta; Magnoliopsida; Brassicales; Brassicaceae.
UGGUUUGAGUUUAGAGUCUAUGAUUUGGGUUUAGGAUAUAGGGUUUGGGUUUAGGGUUUACGGUUUGGGUUUAGGGUUUAGAAUUUGGGUUUAGGAUAUAGGGUUUAGGAUAUAGGGUUUACGGUUUGGGUUUAGGGUUUAGGAUUUAGGUUUAGGGUUUAGGGUAUAGAUUUAAAGUUUAGAGUGCAGUUAGUGGCGUUAACAUCAUUAAAAUUGGCGUUAUUAUAUUUUUUCAAUUAUUUCAGAUUUUUUAAAAUAAAAUUAAGAGAAAAAGACAAAAAUAACACUAAAUCAACUUUUUGUUCCCAAACUAGCACUCAAGGUCAAAAGUCACAAAAAUAACACUUAAUGUUUUAUCAAAAGUCACAAACUUAGGGUUUAGAGUUAAAAGGUGGGGUUUAGGAUUUAGGGUUUAGGGUUUAGGAUUUAGAUUUUAGGGUUUAGGGUUUAGAGUUUAGGGUUUAGAGUUUAGGGUUUAGGGUUUAGAGUUUAGGGUUUAUGGUUUAGGGUUUAGGGUUUAGAGUUUAGGGUUUAGGGUUUAGUGUUGAAAAAUGAGGUUUUGGGAUAAGAUUUCAAAUUUUGAAAAAUAAAAAAAUUAAAAUUUUUAAAGGAUAAACUUAGAAAUGUGCUAUUUUGGUCAUUUUAGUUUUUGAGUGCUAUUUUUGUGAUAUAAACUUAGAAAUGUGCUAUUUUGGAGAUUUUCUCUAAAAUUAAUCUAUUUUAUUAUUAAUCUAGGUGGUAUUUUGAUUAGUAAUAAGAGGAGAAAUGAAUUUAAAGGUUCAUUCUAGAAUAACCUAAAUCUUGUUCAU